GACGAACGCAGGCGGCGUGCCUAACGCGUGCAAGUUGAGCGCUGAAGGUUGGUACUUGUACCAUCGAUGAGCAGCGAACGGUGAGUAACGCGUGGGGAAUUGCGUUUGAGCGGGGACAACAUUUGGAAACGAAUGCUAAUACCGCAUAAAAACUUUAACACAAGUUUUAAGUGAAAGAUGCAAUUGCAUCACUCAAAGAUGAUCCCGCGUUGUAUUAGUAGUUGGUGAGGUAAAGGCUCACCAAGGCGAUGAUACAUACCGACCUGAGAGGGUGAUCGGCCCAUGGACUGAGACACGGCCCAAACUCUACGGAGGCAGCAGUAGGAAUCUUCGGCAAUGGACGAAAGUCUGACCGAGCAACGCCCUGAGUGAAGAAGGUUUCGGAUCGUAAAACUCUGUUGGUAGAGAAGAACGUGGUGAGAGUGGAAAGCUCAUCAAGUGACCGGUACUCCCAGAA
This 457-nucleotide ribosomal RNA is filed under the name Lactococcus lactis. RNAcentral's name for it is "bacterial SSU rRNA". It matches the Rfam family "Bacterial small subunit ribosomal RNA", at positions 28 to 487 of the family's 1533-position model. The record is from RNAcentral. Lineage: Bacteria; Bacillati; Bacillota; Bacilli; Lactobacillales; Streptococcaceae.